GCUUUUGGUUCAGUGGUAGAAUGCUCGCCUGCCACACGGGCACCCCAGGUUCGAAUUCCGGCCUAUGCAUUUUUUUUCUACAAUUUUUAAAACUCAUUUAUAUAUUAUAGUAGCGGGCGCCUCUCGGGUUCGAUUCCCGGCCGAUGCA
This is a non-coding RNA of Cordylochernes scorpioides, 148 nucleotides long. Lineage: Eukaryota; Metazoa; Arthropoda; Arachnida; Pseudoscorpiones; Chernetidae. The record is from the annotation of a GenBank genome assembly.